Molecule: ribosomal RNA, 253 nt
Filed under: uncultured bacterium
Lineage: Bacteria
Description: partial 16S ribosomal RNA
Rfam family: Bacterial small subunit ribosomal RNA
Source: RNAcentral
UACGUAGGGCGCAAGCGUUGUCCGGAAUUAUUGGGCGUAAAGAGCUCGUAGGCGGCUUGUCACGUCGGGUGUGAAAGCCCGGGGCUUAACCCCGGGUCUGCAUUCGAUACGGGCAGGCUAGAGUGUGGUAGGGGAGAUCGGAAUUCCUGGUGUAGCGGUGAAAUGCGCAGAUAUCAGGAGGAACACCGGUGGCGAACGCGGAUCUCUGGGCCAUUACUGACGCUGAGGAGCGAAAGCGUGGGGAGCGAACAGG